AACGAACGCUGGCGGCAUGCCUAACACAUGCAAGUCGAACGAGACCUUCGGGUCUAGUGGCGCACGGGUGCGUAACGCGUGGGAACCUGCCCUUAGGUUCGGAAUAACUCCCCGAAAGGGGUGCUAAUACCGGAUAAUGUCUUCGGACCAAAGAUUUAUCGCCUUUGGAUGGGCCCGCGUUGGAUUAGCUAGUUGGUAGGGUACAAGCCUACCAAGGCGACGAUCCAUAGCUGGUCUGAGAGGAUGAUCAGCCACACUGGGACUGAGACACGGCCCAGACUCCUACGGGAGGCAGCAGUGGGGAAUAUUGGACGAUGGGCGAAAGCCUGAUCCAGCAAUGCCGCGUGAGUGAUGAAGGCCUUAGGGUUGUAAAGCUCUUUUACCCGGGAUGAUAAUGACAGUACCGGGAGAAUAAGCUCCGGCUAACUCCGUG
RNAcentral lists this ribosomal RNA (433 nucleotides) under uncultured bacterium. Its description in RNAcentral is "partial 16S ribosomal RNA". It matches the Rfam family "Bacterial small subunit ribosomal RNA", at positions 29 to 507 of the family's 1533-position model. The record is from RNAcentral.